AUGAACGCUGGCGGCGUGCCUAAUACCUGCAAGUCGAGCGAACAGACGAGGAGCUUGCUCCUCUGACGUUAGUGGCGGACGGGUGCGUAACACGUGGAUAACCUACCUAUAAGACUGGGAUAACUUCGGGAAACCGGAGCUAAUACCGGAUAAUAUAUUGAACCGCAUGGUUCAAUAGUGAAAGACGGUUUUGCUGUCACUUAUAGAUGGAUCCGCGCCGCAUUAGCUAGUUGGUAAGGUAACGGCUUACCAAGGCAACGAUGCGUAGCCGACCUGAGAGGGAGGACCGCCACACUGGCACUGAGAAACGGUCCCGACUCCUACGGGAGGAAGCAGUAGGGAAUCUUACGCAAUGGGCGAAAGCCUGACGGAGCAACGCCGCGUGAGUGAUGAAGGUCUUCGGAUCGGAAAACUCUGUUGUUAGGGAAGAACAAAUGUGUAAGUAACUAUGAACGUCUUGACGGUACCUAAUCAGAAAGCCACGGCUAACUACGUG
RNAcentral lists this ribosomal RNA (496 nucleotides) under uncultured bacterium. Its description in RNAcentral is "partial 16S ribosomal RNA". It matches the Rfam family "Bacterial small subunit ribosomal RNA", at positions 29 to 507 of the family's 1533-position model. The record is from RNAcentral.